AUAUUGCGCAAUGGCCGCAAGGCUGACGCAGCGACGCCGCGUGGAGGAUGACGCCCCUCGGGGUGUAAACUCCUGUUGCUCGGGACGAACCAUGGGUUUCGACCCAUCUGACGGUACCGAGUGAGGAAGCACCGGCUAACUCCGUGCCAGCAGCCGCGGUAAUACGGAGGGUGCAAGCGUUAUCCGGAUUUACUGGGUUUAAAGGGUGUGUAGGCGGAUAUUUAAGUCAGAGGUGAAAUCUCCGGGCUCAACCCGGAAACUGCCUUUGAUACUAUUUAUCUUGAAUUUCGUUGAGGUUGGCGGAAUAUAUCAUGUAGCGGUGAAAUGCAUAGAUAUGAUAUAGAACACCGAUUGCGUAGGCAGCUGGCUGAACGACGAUUGACGCUGAGGCACGAAAGCGUGGGUAGCGAACAGG
RNAcentral lists this ribosomal RNA (415 nucleotides) under uncultured bacterium. Its description in RNAcentral is "bacterial SSU rRNA". It matches the Rfam family "Bacterial small subunit ribosomal RNA", at positions 361 to 776 of the family's 1533-position model. The record is from RNAcentral.